GACGAACGCUGGCGGCGUGCUUAACACAUGCAAGUCGAGCGAGACUUUCUCUUCGGAGGGAUGCUCUAGCGGCGAACGGGUGAGUAACACGUGGGCAACCUGCCCCUAGCUCUGGGAUAAGCCCGAGAAAUCGGGUCUAAUACUGGAUAUUCACGACAUAGGGCAUCUUGUGUUGUGGAAAGGUUUUCUGGCUGGGGAUGGGCCCGCGGCCUAUCAGCUUGUUGGGGGGUGAUGGCCUACCAAGGCGACGACGGGUAGCCGGCCUGAGAGGGCGACCGGCCACACUGGGACCGAGACACGGCCCAGACUCCUACGGGAGGCAGCAGUGGGGAAUAUUGCGCAAUGGGCGAAAGCCUGACGCAGCGACGCCGCGUGAGGGAUGACGGCCU
This 389-nucleotide ribosomal RNA is filed under the name uncultured bacterium. RNAcentral's name for it is "bacterial SSU rRNA". It matches the Rfam family "Bacterial small subunit ribosomal RNA", at positions 28 to 417 of the family's 1533-position model. The record is from RNAcentral.